Molecule: ribosomal RNA, 450 nt
Filed under: uncultured bacterium
Lineage: Bacteria
Description: bacterial SSU rRNA
Rfam family: Bacterial small subunit ribosomal RNA
Source: RNAcentral
GUGGGGAAUUUUGGACAAUGGGCGCAAGCCUGAUCCAGCAAUGCCGCGUGCAGGAAGAAGGCCUUCGGGUUGUAAACUGCUUUUGUACGGAACGAAACGGUCCUGGUUAAUACCUGGGGCUAAUGACGGUACCGUAAGAAUAAGCACCGGCUAACUACGUGCCAGCAGCCGCGGUAAUACGUAGGGUGCGAGCGUUAAUCGGAAUUACUGGGCGUAAAGCGUGCGCAGGCGGUGCUGUAAGACAGGCGUGAAAUCCCCGGGCUCAACCUGGUAAUUGCGCUUGUGACUGCAGUGCUGGAGUACGGCAGAGGGGGAUGGAAUUCCGCGUGUAGCAGUGAAAUGCGUAGAUAUAGGAAGGAACACCAGUGGCGAAGGCGGCCACCUGGACCAGCACUGACACUGAGGCACGAAAGCGUGGGGAGCAAACAGGAUUAGAAACCCUAGUAGUCC